Molecule: non-coding RNA, 219 nt
Filed under: Gossypium hirsutum (cotton)
Lineage: Eukaryota; Viridiplantae; Streptophyta; Magnoliopsida; Malvales; Malvaceae
Description: Bacterial large subunit ribosomal RNA
Rfam family: Bacterial large subunit ribosomal RNA
Source: Rfam by way of RNAcentral
CAUUGGUGAGAAUUCAAUGCCCCGAAAACCUAAGGGUUCCUCCGCAAGGUUCGUCCAUGGAGGGUGAGUCAGGGCUUAAGAUUAGGCCGAAAGGCGUAGUCAAUGGGCAACAGGUGAAUAUUCUUGUAUUACCCCUUGUUAGUCACAUUAAGGUUUAAUUUCAUAUCUUAUUCAACCUCUAAUUCAAUUUCUACAAUUUUUGGUGAUUUGUCAAAGUCA